Molecule: long non-coding RNA, 313 nt
Filed under: Gallus gallus (chicken)
Lineage: Eukaryota; Metazoa; Chordata; Aves; Galliformes; Phasianidae
Source: RNAcentral
GAAAGCUCAGCUAAUUUCUCAAAAACACAAGGCCCAUCAGCUGCAUUAAUAAUGAAAGGAGAGGAGAAAAUAGCAACUAAGACGAUCUUUGUCUUCCUGAAGACAUUGAUUGCAAUUCUGCUACAGCUGAUUCCUGACCUUAUAAAAGCUUUUCCUCUGCUGAGGACUGAAAUCUGAAGAUUGGAGGUGGUUGACAUUUAAAAUAAGUUUAAUGAGAAUUUUAACUUAAAAAAUAAAACACACCUGAAAAAAAUAUAUAGAAAUGUAUGACUUUGUAGAAAUAGUAUAAUUUUCCCAAUCAGCAGUGAAGUUA